UACGUAGGGUGCGAGCGUUAAUCGGAAUUACUGGGCGUAAAGCGUGCGCAGGCGGUUUUGUAAGCCAGAUGUGAAAUCCCCGGGCUUAACCUGGGAAUGGCAUUUGGGACUGCAAGGCUCGAGUGCGGCAGAGGAGACUGGAAUUCCUGGUGUAGCAGUGAAAUGCGUAGAUAAUCAGGAGGAACACCGGUGGCGAAGGCGGGUCUCUGGGCCGAUGACUGACGCUGGAGGAGCGAAGCGUGGGAGCGAACAGGA
Molecule: ribosomal RNA, 255 nt
Filed under: uncultured bacterium
Lineage: Bacteria
Description: partial 16S ribosomal RNA
Rfam family: Bacterial small subunit ribosomal RNA
Source: RNAcentral